GACGAACGCUGGCGGCGUGCCUAAUACAUGCAAGUCGAGCGGACGGAUGGGAGCUUGCUCCCAGACCGUCAGCGGCGGACGGGUGAGUAACACGUGGGCAACCUGCCUGUAAGACUGGGAUAACUCCGGGAAACCGGGGCUAAUACCGGAUAACUCUUUCCCUCACAUGAGGGAAAGCUGAAAGAUGGCAUCUCGCUAUCACUUACAGAUGGGCCCGCGGCGCAUUAGCUAGUUGGUGAGGUAACGGCUCACCAAGGCGACGAUGCGUAGCCGACCUGAGAGGGUGAUCGGCCACACUGGGACUGAGACACGGCCCAGACUCCUACGGGAGGCAGCAGUAGGGAAUCUUCCGCAAUGGACGAAAGUCUGACGGAGCAACGCCGCGUGAGUGAUGAAGGUUUUCGGAUCGUAAAACUCUGUUGUCAGGGAAGAACAAGUACCGGAGUAACUGCCGGUACCUUGACGGUACCUGACCAGAAAGCCAUGGCUAACUACGUG
Molecule: ribosomal RNA, 498 nt
Filed under: uncultured bacterium
Lineage: Bacteria
Description: partial 16S ribosomal RNA
Rfam family: Bacterial small subunit ribosomal RNA
Source: RNAcentral